CCCUUAGAUGUCCUGGGCCGCACGCGCGCUACACUGAACGGAUCAGCGCGUUUUCCCUUCCCGAGAGGGACGGGUAACCUGCUGAACCCCGUUCGUGGUAGGGAUCGGGGCUUGCAAUUAUUCCCCGUGAACCAGGAAUGCCCAGUAAGUGCAAGUCAUAAGCUUGCGUUGAUUACGUCCCUGCCCUUUGUACACACCGCCCGUCGCUACUACCGAUUGAACGUUUUAGUGAGGUACUCGGACUGAGCCUCAGAAGAUUCACGUCUUUUGUGCUGCUCGGGAAGAUUCCCAAACUUGCGCGUUUAGAGGAAGUAAAAGUCGUAACA
This 326-nucleotide ribosomal RNA is filed under the name uncultured eukaryote. RNAcentral's name for it is "partial 18S ribosomal RNA". It matches the Rfam family "Eukaryotic small subunit ribosomal RNA", at positions 1470 to 1796 of the family's 1831-position model. The record is from RNAcentral.